AAAAAAAAAAAGUAAUAUGAGAACUCCUAUGGCCUCCCUCUAAUAUGAGAACUCCUAUGGCCUCCCUCUAAUGCUGUAAUGCUUAUUGUGAGGGUCAUUUUCCAUUAUCCGCACACAUGUAACAUGAGAAUGAUAUUUUCAAGGAAUUGUUGCAAAUGAGACCCUUGCCUUUGCAUAUGGUAAAAAGUAUCUUGAUCUUGUGACGUGAAAUCAGAGAGACUAGACUUUUUUAUAAACUUUGAACUCAAUCAAUCAAUGACACACCCCACUAUCUGCUUUCCCCAAAAACGACUUUUGCUGCCUUCUUUUUAUGUGAGAUACGUUUGGUUUCCUCAUCUAUUUGAAGAUGUGCAGGGCCAGCAAUAAGGAAGGUCUGGGACAAGCCAGCCCUAGCUUGAGCCUGGACGUGGUUCCCAUAGGACAGGCCUAAACCCCACCAGCC
RNAcentral lists this long non-coding RNA (442 nucleotides) under Amborella trichopoda. RNAcentral's name for it is "long non-coding RNA (ATRI_LNC002669)". The record is from RNAcentral. Lineage: Eukaryota; Viridiplantae; Streptophyta; Magnoliopsida; Amborellales; Amborellaceae.